This 785-nucleotide long non-coding RNA is filed under the name Prunus persica (peach). RNAcentral describes it as "long non-coding RNA (PPER_LNC005194)". Lineage: Eukaryota; Viridiplantae; Streptophyta; Magnoliopsida; Rosales; Rosaceae. The record is from RNAcentral.
CUUGAUAGCGUGAAAGUAGCAAAUAAAUAAUGAUGUGUUCAAAUUGGAUUUGAACACACAUCACAACCCAUAUCAUCAUUAAGGCCCUAAAAAUUAAAUCAUUAUGUGCUUGGUUAAUACGUUAAGUAGUUUAUGAAGUGAUUAAGAUCAAAGAGGAUCCAUGACUUGUAAUGGAUCACUUGUUCAUUUACUUAAAAAUAAAUAAAUAAAUAAAUAAAAGCAAAGGACCCACUAGUGUAGUGGUUUGGAGUAUUUACUCCCUUAGGUAAGGUCCUGGGUUCGAGUCCUAGCAUCCGUGUUGUGUGUGUGAGUUUAAUAUGCUAUCGCCCCUUUCAAUAGGAAAGGACCUCAAAAAAAAAAAAAAUAAAUAAAUAAAUAAACUCGCAAUACCGACUCCAUUCGUAAUUCCAUCAAUUACGCGACCAAAACUUCGUCGCUCAAAGUCUUGCGCGACGAAAAACAAUUCGUAGCGCAAAGUCACUUCGCGCGACAAACUUUUGCGCGACGACAAUACAUCGUCGCUCAAAGUCUUGCGCGACCAAAUUUUGCUCGACGAAAAAAAUUCGUCGCGCAAAGUCACUUCGCGAGACAAACUUUUGCGCGACAACAAUACAUCGUCGCUCAAAGUGACUUUGCGCGACGAAACAAUGAACUUCGUCGCGCAAAGUCCUUAUAAAAAUAAAAUAUAUAUAUUUUAAAAUCUUUGCAUGACGUAAUCCAAAUAUUUCGUCGCCUAAACUAAUUUAUUUUUGUUUUUUAUUUUGUAUGCAUAACACUUAAGAAAU